GUACAUGCUUCUACAUUACAUAUACUAAAAUAGGAAGACUACAGAGAGAUUAGCAUGGUUCUUUUGCAAGGAUGACAGGCAAAUUCGUGAAGCGCUCCAUAUUUAC
Octopus bimaculoides (California two-spot octopus) is the source of this 106-nucleotide non-coding RNA. NCBI's taxonomy places the organism in Eukaryota, Metazoa, Mollusca, Cephalopoda, Octopoda, Octopodidae. The record is from Rfam.